CCUGGGAGCUGAGCCGCCGCCCGCUGGGUGUAGGCUGCUUCAGUAUUUACCGAAUGUGACAAGCAGAGAGAAGAGCUUUCGGUGGGGCCGCUUGCUGCCCAGCUCAAGUGGUGGGAGAGCUCCUUACCCGCAACCUUUCUGACUAUCCCAUUGGCAAAGACCCGCAGGCCAUGAGGACUGGUCAAAGACGCCUGUGCCUGUGAUCCCCGCAAAGGAGCAAACCUGAGUGGUGACAGUGCGUGACAAGCCUCCCUUGGAGUUCUUCCAACCUUCCUCCCGCUCACGCCCUCCCCAGGCACCGGCACUCCCACCUCUGGGACACGUUCCCUUGGAGGGAGGUGAGAGGACGUGAAAGGGUAAAUCCCUGUGUCCCGCAGUCUUAUCUCCCGCCCUGACGUCCCUGCACACCAGCCAGAGGGUU
This 421-nucleotide long non-coding RNA is filed under the name Delphinapterus leucas (beluga whale). Its description in RNAcentral is "lncRNA (ENSDLEG00000020544.1)". The record is from RNAcentral. Lineage: Eukaryota; Metazoa; Chordata; Mammalia; Artiodactyla; Monodontidae.